GACGAACGCUGGCGGCGUGCUUAACACAUGCAAGUCGAACGGAAAGGCCCUGCUUUUGUGGGGUGCUCGAGUGGCGAACGGGUGGGUAACACGUGAGUAACCUGCCCUUGACUUUGGGAUAACUUCAGGAAACUGGGGCUAAUACCGGAUAGGAGCUCCUGCUGCAUGGUGGGGGUUGGAAAGUUUCGGCGGUUGGGGAUGGACUCGCGGCUUAUCAGCUUGUUGGUGGGGUAGUGGCUUACCAAGGCUUUGACGGGUAGCCGGCCUGAGAGGGUGACCGGCCACAUUGGGACUGAGAUACGGCCCAGACUGCUACGGGAGGCAGCAGUGGGGAAUAUUGCACAAUGGGCGGAAGCCUGAUGCAGCAACGCCGCGUGCGGGAUGACGGCCUUCGGGCUGUAAACCGCUUUCGCCUGUGACGAAGCGUGAGUGACGGUAAUGGGUAAAGAAGCACCGGCUAACUACGUG
This 468-nucleotide ribosomal RNA is filed under the name uncultured bacterium. RNAcentral's name for it is "partial 16S ribosomal RNA". It matches the Rfam family "Bacterial small subunit ribosomal RNA", at positions 28 to 507 of the family's 1533-position model. The record is from RNAcentral.